This 253-nucleotide ribosomal RNA is filed under the name uncultured bacterium. Its description in RNAcentral is "partial 16S ribosomal RNA". It matches the Rfam family "Bacterial small subunit ribosomal RNA", at positions 524 to 776 of the family's 1533-position model. The record is from RNAcentral.
AACGUAGGACGCAAGCGUUAUCCGGAGUUACUGGGCGUAAAGCGCGGGCAGGCGGCCUGGAAAGUCUGAUGUGAAAGCGCCCGGCUCAACCGGGCGAGGCCAUUGGAAACUAGCAGGCUGGAGGGCAGUAGAGGCAGGCGGAAUUCCGGGUGGAGUGGUGAAAUGCGUAGAGAUCCGGAGGAACACCAGAGGCGAAGGCGGCCUGCUGGGCUGCACCUGACGCUGAGCCGCGAAAGCCAGGGGAGCGAACGGG